AAGAGGGGAAGGAUGUAAUACCCCAAGUUUUACUUUUAAUUAAUUAAUAACUAAUCUUAAUGAUUAAACUAAUAGUGAACUAAUUUUAGUAAAUAAAAAUUUCUAAGUUAAUUUCUAAGAUAUGUUGUUUAAUAAUUUUAGGAUAACAAAGUUCAUAAAUUAAAAUCCUAAGUCUUAGCAUCAAUCUUGUAAAUGAUGUAAGACUUAAGGUUAGCAAAAAUUCUGAUGGACCCAAUGCCCAAUGACCAAAUCCUUUGAAUCCCAAACAAAACAAAAAGGCCUAGUAUUAUUCUCUCCCAAAAUCAGAAAAUAAAACAAAAAUUAAAAGAAAAGCAAUAACUCCAUCUUCUUCCUCCUCCAUACGUGGAAGGACAAGAAUGGAGAUUUCUAAACAAAGUCAAAAACCAACUCAAUAAACUUAAUUAAGUUUUCACUCUCUCAACCAUCCUUAAUCCACUGGUUUUCUCAAAACCCCUGAAUUUAGCCACUUGUUUUCUUGAAUGGUUUUAGUAAUUUAAAAUUCCGAAAUUCAUCUACUGAGAUGGAGAUUUCUCUAUAAAUAGGGAAGAAUGAAUUGUGUUUUUGACAUCACAAAAUCAACAACAAUAAUUCAGAAAUUUACAUCAACUAAAAGAAUUUGGAACAAAAGUUUUUCAAAUCUUUCAACUCCUCUGUUCUUCUGUUUCGGCCACAACUUCAACCACCACGGUACCACCACCCAUCAUCAAUUUGCCUUUCUGCUGCCGUCGAGCAGGCAUAGCCGCCGCCGACCAACCGCCCCAGUCCCCUCUCCUCUCUCGCGCACUCCGUCGUCGCCUUCGAACCCCUGCACGCCUAUUCUCUCUCCUCCUUUCUCCGCCCAUUAUUCGAUGCUAUUGCGGCUAGGAAACGCGCGUACUGCACCGAAGAUCGCCGCCGUGGGUCCGCGCUGCUCGUCGUCGACAACCGAGCCUCGCCGGAUUUCUGCCGGAGCUCCAUUCCUCUUGCUGCGACGCCGAGCCACGUUUCUCUCCUGCGUGUGUGUGUGUUUUCUUGGGAACUCGUUCCUCGGAGCUCAGUAAGGACGAUAUCCAGGACAUAAGAAGAGGAUUAUUAUUAUUACUCUGCAAUCAAGGUAUGGUCAGACAGUUGAAAGAUCGUUGGUAAAACGGAUUUUUGCUAAUGAGUGUUAAAGAAUCUAGUAUGGCACUAAUAGUAAGGGUUCGUAAGCUCAAGCUAGAAGCACUGCAAGAGAGAGAGUUCAGGAUGGAUCUCGUGUAUCGAUGCUGUUGUCUGUAUUUUAUAUCUUAUGGGCUAGGAAGAUUAUAUUAUUAUUAUGGCUAAUGUUGGUGAGUUUUAAGAAUUAUAUUAUCUAAGACUAUUUAAGCAAUUAUUAUAUUUGUGGGCCCAUAACCCACAGGUUUAA
This is a long non-coding RNA of Beta vulgaris subsp. vulgaris (sugar beet), 1405 nucleotides long. RefSeq lists it as uncharacterized. The transcript has 3 exons. The record is from RefSeq and is a predicted model, not a curated record. NCBI's taxonomy places the organism in Eukaryota, Viridiplantae, Streptophyta, Magnoliopsida, Caryophyllales, Amaranthaceae.